GGGUGAGUAACACGUGGAUAACCUACCUAUAAGACUGGGAUAACUUCGGGAAACUGGAGCUAAUACCGGAUAAUAUAUUGAACCGCAUGGUUCAAUAGUGAAAGACGGUUUUGCUGUCACUUAUAGAUGGAUCCGCGCCGCAUUAGCUAGUUGGUAAGGUAACGGCUUACCAAGGCAACGAUGCGUAGCCGACCUGAGAGGGUGAUCGGCCACACUGGAACUGAGACACGGUCCAG
RNAcentral lists this ribosomal RNA (236 nucleotides) under uncultured Staphylococcus sp. RNAcentral describes it as "partial 16S ribosomal RNA". It matches the Rfam family "Bacterial small subunit ribosomal RNA", at positions 104 to 334 of the family's 1533-position model. The record is from RNAcentral. Lineage: Bacteria; Bacillati; Bacillota; Bacilli; Caryophanales; Staphylococcaceae.